Molecule: ribosomal RNA, 683 nt
Filed under: uncultured bacterium
Lineage: Bacteria
Description: bacterial SSU rRNA
Rfam family: Bacterial small subunit ribosomal RNA
Source: RNAcentral
GAGUUUGAUCCUGGCUCAGGAUGAACGCUAGCGACAGGCUUAACACAUGCAAGUCGAGGGGCAGCGGGGAGCAAGCUUGCUUGCUCCGCCGGCGACCGGCGCACGGGUGAGUAACACGUAUGCAACCUGCCCUCCGCAGGGGGAUAACCCGGAGAAAUCCGGACUAAUACCGCGUGGUACACUUGUGGGGCAUCCCACGGGUGUUAAAAGGAAGUGAUUCCGGCGGAGGAUGGGCAUGCGGCGCAUUAGCUUGUUGGCGGGGUAACGGCCCACCAAGGCGACGAUGCGUAGGGGUUCUGAGAGGAAGGUCCCCCACACUGGUACUGAGACACGGACCAGACUCCUACGGGAGGCAGCAGUGAGGAAUAUUGGUCAAUGGGCGGGAGCCAGAACCAGCCAAGUCGCGUGAGGGAAGACGGUCCUAUGGAUUGUAAACCUCUUUAGGCGGGGAGCAAUGCCGGGCACGUGUGCCCGGAGGGAGAGUACCCGUAGAAUAAGCAUCGGCUAACUCCGUGCCAGCAGCCGCGGUAAUACGGAGGAUGCGAGCGUUAUCCGGAUUUAUUGGGUUUAAAGGGUGCGUAGGCGGAUUUUUAAGUCAGCGGUAAAAUGUCCGGGCUCAACCCGGGCCGGCCGUUGAAACUGGGGAUCUUGAGUGGGCGAGAAGUAUGCGGAAUGCGUGGUGU